GGAUGUUAGCGGCGGACGGGUGAGUAACACGUGGGUAACCUGCCUGUAAGACUGGGAUAACUCCGGGAAACCGGAGCUAAUACCGGAUAGUUCCUUGAACCGCAUGGUUCAAGGAUGAAAGACGGUUUCGGCUGUCACUUACAGAUGGACCCGCGGCGCAUUAGCUAGUUGGUGAGGUAACGGCUCACCAAGGCGACGAUGCGUAGCCGACCUGAGAGGGUGAUCGGCCACACUGGGACUGAGACACGGCCCAGACUCCUACGGGAGGCAGCAGUAGGGAAUCUUCCGCAAUGGACGAAAGUCUGACGGAGCAACGCCGCGUGAGUGAUGAAGGUUUUCGGAUCGUAAAGCUCUGUUGUUAGGGAAGAACAAGUGCAAGAGUAACUGCUUGCACCUUGACGGUACCUUAACCAGAAAGCCACGGCUUAACUACGUGCCAGCAG
Molecule: ribosomal RNA, 443 nt
Filed under: Bacillus pumilus
Lineage: Bacteria; Bacillati; Bacillota; Bacilli; Caryophanales; Bacillaceae
Description: bacterial SSU rRNA
Rfam family: Bacterial small subunit ribosomal RNA
Source: RNAcentral